GAUGAAGAACGCAGCGAAAUGCGAUACUUGGUGUGAAUUGCAGAAUCCCGCGAAUCAUCGAGUUUUUGAACGCAAGUUGCGCCCGAAGCCAUUCGGCCGAGGGCACGUCUGCCUGGGUGUCACGCAUCGUUGCCCCCCCAAACUCCGGUUCGGGCGGGGCGGAAGUUGGCCUCCCGUGCGUGCCUGCGCGCGCGGUUAGCCCAAAAGCGAGUCCUCGGCGACGAGCGCCACGACAAUCGGUGGUUUUUUUACCCUCGUUCCUCGUCGUGCGUGUCCCGUCGCCCGAACGCGCUCUUGUGACCCUCACGCGUCGCCUCGGCGGCGCUCCCAACGCGACCCCAGGUCAGGCGGGACUACCCGCUGAGUUUAAGCAUAUCAAUAAGCGGA
This 387-nucleotide unclassified non-coding RNA is filed under the name soil metagenome. Its description in RNAcentral is "partial contains 5.8S ribosomal RNA, internal transcribed spacer 2, and large subunit ribosomal RNA". The stretch from base 1 to 122 matches the Rfam family "5.8S ribosomal RNA", at positions 35 to 154 of the family's 154-position model. The record is from RNAcentral.